GCUACGGGUGGCAGCAGUGAGGAAUAUUGGUCAAUGGACGCAAGUCUGAACCAGCCAAGUAGCGUGCAGGAUGACGGCCCUCCGGGUUGUAAACUGCUUUUAGUUGGGAAUAAAAGGGGGCUCGUGAGCCCCGUAUUGUAUGUACCAUCAGAAAAAGCAUCGGCUAACUCCGUGCCAGCAGCCGCGGUAAUACGGGGGAUGCGAGCGUUAUCCGGUUUUAUUGGGGUGAAAGGGUGCGUAGGCGGAAUGCCAAGUCAGCGGUAAAAUCGCGGGGCUCAACCUCGCUCCGCCGUUGAAACUGGCGGUCUUGAGUGGGCGAGAAGUAGGCGGAAUGCGUGGUGUAGCGGUGAAAUGCAUAGAUAUCACGCAGAACUCCGAUUGCGAAGGCAGCAUACCGGCGCCCAACUGACGCUGAAGCACGAAAGCGUGGGUAUCGAACAGGAUUAGAUACCCCUGUAGUC
RNAcentral lists this ribosomal RNA (461 nucleotides) under uncultured bacterium. RNAcentral describes it as "partial 16S ribosomal RNA". It matches the Rfam family "Bacterial small subunit ribosomal RNA", at positions 338 to 795 of the family's 1533-position model. The record is from RNAcentral.